RNA transcript from Setaria italica (foxtail millet), 4557 nucleotides. RefSeq lists it as uncharacterized. The transcript has 9 exons. The record is from RefSeq and is a predicted model, not a curated record. Lineage: Eukaryota; Viridiplantae; Streptophyta; Magnoliopsida; Poales; Poaceae.
UGGCAAAUCAUAACGUAGCUGUCAACCUGAAGGCCUUUUUCCUGUGGCCGUAAUCAAAUCCCUUGCCCGGAGGCCAUGAGUGCCUUUUAGCAGAGGAAACCACCCAUCGUUUGGUCGUUUGGAGGCUUCGAUCGCUGCACCGCCCCCACCGCUUCCUCGCCGUCCUCUCCUCCCUCCCCGGCCACCGCCACCGCCAAAAAAAAAACAAAGAAAAAGAAAGAAAGAAAAGAAAGAUUCAGGAGGAAGCGCGGCAGAAUCGCCGCGGUUUCAGAAGGCGACCGAAGGUGCGGCCAGCGCCCCUGCGUAGGACGCGUGAGCCCGUCCCCGGCGCGUAUCCGCCGGAGCCCUCCCGCCGCUCGGUGUCGGUGGCGCCGGCGUUGGCGGGCGCCGCCGUGGGGGGAUCACGCCGGAGUGGCCGGCUCCGGUCGGUUCCGUCCCGUUUCCCUGGGACGAGGGAAGGGUAUUCAAUGUGUUUUCUUGGUAAUUUGUCGCGGCGAUCCGCUUCACUGGAUUAUAGCAACAGCAGGCUGGGCCAGGGUGGACAUUAGGUGGCUACACGCUGGUUUCCUUUCUGGAGAUGAAUGAUAUAGCGCUGGAACAUAGACCUACUUUUGUAACUGGCAUUUCAGAGCCAAGUGGAAGGACAUUGUUUCGCCUUCGAACCUGUGCCGAGCCUGUGCCACUCGAGGAGGAGCAUCUGGUACAGCCGUCACCCUUCUGCGUCGGAUGAAUAACCAAGUUGGUUCCAACCACCAGAAAAACUUGAAUGUGGUCUAUCAGGAUCUGACCAAAGAUCAAGGUCUUAGUAGGUUUGACUCUGAGAACCUGUCGGAUGUCUCAACUACUGUUUUUCCACUGAAAGGCAUUAUGGAUCCUACAAAAUUGGUUCAUCUGAAGACCGUACCAUCUGAAAAUGGACUCAAAACAGUUGAAAAUUCAAGCGAUAGUCUGCUUGAUAUGGUUUCUGAAAGCCCACUUGCCGGAAAAGUCAAGUUCAUGUGCAGCUUUGGUGGGAAAAUCUUGCCAAGGCCAAGCGAUGGAAAGCUCAGGUAUGUGGGUGGGGAGACACGCCUCAUCUCCAUUAACAGGAACUUCUCAUGGAAAGAACUCAUGCAGAAAACUCUCACAAUCUGUAGUCAGCCUCAUAUCAUCAAAUAUCAGCUGCCUGACGAGGAUCUUGAUGCAUUGAUAUCUCUUUCAUGUGAUGAGGAUUUUCAGAAUAUGAUGGAAGAAUACGACAAUCUUGAGAAGGCCAAUGGCUCAGUUAGACUAAGGAUAUUUCUUGUUUCUCUGACUGAAUGUGAGGAUCCAUCAUUGGAUUCAAAGAGCUUGGAGAGUGAGCCGGAGUAUCAUUUUGUUGUUGCUGUCAACAAUCUUGCACGACUGGAUCGGAGCAUCAGCGGCAACAAUUUAACGAGCCAUUCGAACCAUCAAUUGGAUAAUUCUCCAGUUCCUUAUGGAGACUCACCUCUGUGUCAAACCAAUACACAAACUGGAGCCAAAGAUUCUCUUGGAGCAGCUCUUAACGAGUCUUCCUCUCAGUUUUUUCUUGCUCCAUACACACAACAAAUGGUUGUGGAGUCAUCAACUACUCCAUCCCCCUGCUCAGGUCAGCAGAGGACGAUGCAACAGUCUAGGAUGCAACCCCCUGCAGAUGAAUCCACCACGAAUGUGAAUAGAAGUGAGGUUUGCAAUAGCUCAAAUUUGAAAGCCAUGCCUCCAGGCCAUAUAAACAAGAAGCAAAAUGAUGCAGACAAAAACAUUGGAAUUGGAUCUCCCAUGCAACAUUCUCAUAUUCAAAGGCAGGUAAAAGGUUUGGCUGGAAAUGAUAGUGACUUGAUUCCAUGUACCAACUAUGGUAUUUCUACUCCAGUGGAAGCAUCCUUGUAUUCUGAAAAGGCCUCUGUGCAUCCAGAGAAUGCAGGAUGGGCACCUGGGCAGCAGGAACACACUGCUCAAAUUCUAGGCAUGACUCAUGCCUUCUCUGAUCCUUUGCUAAAGAAUCUCAAUGAUGUACCUGCAUCCAAUAUGUCAUUACCUGCUGGUUCCUACAUAACCCAAUCAUUUUCCCACAAAAUAUGCCAAAGUAAUGAGUUGGAGAGAACAAGUAAGACUAGGCCUGCAUUUGAAUGUGUUAAGCCCCCUGACAUUGCUCGUACAGAUGAACCAAAUUUCCUUGUUUCUAAUCAUAUUCACCAACGGUACGAUCAAGGAGUUAUUGGCCCAGACAGUUCACAGCCACCAGUAUCUUCUCAACAUGAAAUUUUGUCCAGUAAUGUGACACAAAAAGGUCAUGAUGGUGGUCCUGUAGUUCAACAGCAGGAUAAAAGUGCAGGUCCAAGCGAUGCUCCCUGGAGCAAUUUUGUUGAUGCUGGGUUAAUUUACCCCACACAUGGUGCAAGGUUGUCCUCAUAUGAGUUAGAUGCUCUAGAAAGUUCAGUUCCAAAGCCGAUGCGUGCUACUGAUCAUUCCCUUUCAUAUCUUCUUAAUGUUUCCCAAGGAGGGGGGAAUUCAAAUCAUGGGUCACACAUAGAGAAACCUAAUUCAGGGCUUAUAGAUUAUGGAACUACUGGCUAUGUGCAUGGAAAUGAUAAAGUUGCUCCAGAGCCCCAUAAAGUGUUUCCUAUAAACACUUCUGAAGCUUUUGUAUUGCAAAGAACAAUGGUCAAUGUAGAAUCCAGUGUGCAUCAGAACGGUAAUGUGUGCCAGUCAUCAGUGCAUAACUCUGGUUUGGCUACCACUCCACAUGUUGGGCUGAUUGAUACUGAUCUGAGCAUGAACUUGCAUGGCAAUGGUGGCCUCCCAUUGUCUUCAUCUCAAAAUCCAAUUAUUGAUGGUGUUCCUAGGAGAGAGGAUCCGCAUCAUGAUUGGGGCAAUAUCACCUGCCCUGAAGUAGUAAUUGGAUUUGACCAUACCAUCAUCACUAAUGAAAGCAUGAAGCUACCACACAGGAUGCACGAUAAUGGUCAUAUGAAUGUGCCUGUUAUAGUUGAGGAUGUGACUGAUAACAUGCCAUCAGGCAUUCCAUCAUCCAGCUCGGUUAUUCCUCAGGUUGUAAUAGCUGCUGAAGAACGACAAGAGGUGAUUAUGUCAUCACAAAAGGACGAUGAUACUAGGAGCAACGGUGCAGAGUUUGCUAAUGAGGAUCAUGAUGGAGCUGUAGAUGGGUCCAUUAGUGAUGCUGCUGUUGCUGAACUUGAAGCCAGCAUGUAUGGAUUGCAGAUCAUUAAAAAUGGUGACCUCGAGGAGCUCCGUGAAUUGGGAUCUGGGACAUUUGGAACUGUAUACUAUGGAAAGUGGCGAGGAACUGAUGUUGCUAUCAAACGUAUUAAGAAAAGCUGUUUUGCUGGGCGAUCAUCUGAACAAGAGAAACUUACCAAUGACUUUUGGAGGGAAGCACAGAUUCUCUCAAAGUUACAUCAUCCAAAUGUUGUUGCUUUCUAUGGUGUGGUCCCUGAUGGAACUGGAGGAACAUUAGCAACUGUGACAGAAUUCAUGGUGAAUGGAUCACUAAGAAAUGUUCUUUUAAGGAAAGACAGAUCUUUGCAGAAUGCUUGACCGUCGGAGAAAACUUACCAUUGCUAUGGAUGCGGCAUUUGGGAUGGAAUACUUGCACUCCAAAAGCAUAGUGCAUUUUGAUUUGAAAUGCGAUAACUUACUUGUUAACCUGAGAGAUCCUCAGAGGCCAAUCUGCAAGGUUGGAGACUUCGGCUUGUCAAGAAUUAAGCGCAACACUUUAGUUUCUGGUGGUGUACGUGGCACUCUUCCAUGGAUGGCACCGGAGCUAUUAAAUGGCAGCAGCAGCAGAGUGUCGGAGAAGGUGGAUGUUUUCUCAUUUGGUAUUGUUUUAUGGGAAAUUUUGACUGGUGAGGAACCAUACGCUAAUAUGCAUUGUGGUGCUAUCAUAGGCGGUAUUGUCAAUAACACUCUCCGGCCUCCAAUACCUGAAAACUGUGACCCCGAUUGGCGAAAGCUGAUGGAACAAUGUUGGUCGGCCAAUCCUGAUGUUCGGCCCUCAUUCACCGAGGUCACCGACAGGUUACGAGCCAUGCCACCAGUGCUUCAGUCGAGAGGACAGGCUCCGGGGAACAGAUAAAGCGUGAUAACAUCAGCCAGCAGAUUGUUUAACUGCAAUGGCUGGAUCAACAAUCAGUUUCUGCACUGACCCGCGAGGCUCCUAUAUGUACAUAGAGCACAUAUAUACAUACAUGUAUUUAUUGGUUAUAUGUUGUGUAUUCUAUUUUGACGUAUGUACGCUUCUUAUGUACAUUUUUUUGAACCCCAAAUGUCGCGGGUUUCUGAUGUAAUUACAUGUACCUGAGUUAACAAGUAGUGCAGGCUGCUGCUUGUGGCCUCACGGUUGUUAACAGUUUUGUGUGUAGGUUGUGGUGGUCUGCCAAAUAGACCGCUCGAGCUUUUUUGAGCCUUGGGUUGUAAAAAUAUGAGCUUGACACUUGUAAUAAUUACAUAGUGGCCGAUGAAUUCUUGACUAUACUGGCAUGGCACUUUUGGAACUAUGAAAUUUGAGAAAUAUAUGGAACUUUUUGCUUGGCUGAA